GUUUUAUCUCAUUCAAGCGUUUCCAAACAUAAGCUGAAAGAAGGAAGCUGUGAUAUUUGACAGGUUACUGCUAAGCCACAUGUAAAGAUGAGCGUCCCAGACUACAUGCAGUGUGCAGAGGACCACCAGACAGUCCUGGUGGUGGUCCAACCAGUUGGCAUUGUACCUGAGGACCAGUUCUUCAAGAUCUACAAACGUAUUGCCAGUGUGAGUCAGGUGAGCAUCAGAGAUUCGCAGCGCCUCCUCUACAUCCGCUACCGCCACCACUACCUACCCGAAAACAACGAAUGGGGAGACUUCCAGACUCAUCGCAAGGUUGUAGGCCUCAUUGCCAUUACAACAUGCAACUCUGCUAAAGAGUGGCCCCAGACUGCAGAACGCUUCCACGGUCAGAAGGAGGUGUACAGCUCCACGUUGUACGACUCCCGCCUGCUGGUGUUUGGACUGCAGGGGGAGAUUGCAGAGCAGCAGCGCACAGAUGUGGCCUUUUACCCAAGCUUUGAAGACUGCUCUGAUGUGGAGAAGAGAGUGGAGGACUUUGUAGAAUCCAUUUUUAUUGUGCUGGAGUCCAAAAGGCUCGACAGGGCCACGGAUAAAUCUGGUGACAAGAUCCCGCUGCUGUGUGUGCCCUUUGAGAAGAAGGACUUUGUGGGUUUGGACACCGACAGCAGUCCUGUGAGUUUAUUGUUGGGUGUGAAAAGGCAUUAUAAGAAGCGUUGCCAGGGACGGAUGAGGAAGCAUGUUGGGGACUUGUGUCUCCAGGCGGGCAUGCUGCAGGACGCCCUGGUCCACUACCACAUGGCUGUGGAGCUGCUCAGGGGGGUUAAUGACUUCCUCUGGCUGGGUGCUGCGUUGGAGGGUUUGUGUUCGGCUUCUGUCAUAUUCCACUACCCCGGAGGAACAGCAGGGAAGACAAUCGGACGCAAGCCAAGCAUCUCACAGGCAGCAGAUGCAGGGAAACGCCACCGACCAGGGGCUCAGGAGGUUCUCAUUGACCCAGGUGCCCUCACAGCCAACGGCAUCAGUGCAGACACCAGCACUGAGAUUGGACGAGCAAAGAACUGCCUGAGCCCUGAAGACAUUAUCGAGAAAUACAAAGAGGCCAUCUCCUACUAUGGAAAGUAUAAGAACGCAGGUGUGAUCGAGCUGGAGGCCUGUGUGAAGGCAGUCCGGGUGUUGGCCAUUCAGAAGAGGGCCAGAGAGGCCUCGGAGUUCCUGCAGAACGCUGUCUACAUCAACCUGGGACAGCUGUCAGAGGAGGAGAAGAUCCAGCGCUACAGCAUCCUGUCAGAGCUCUACGAACUGAUCGGCUUCCAUCGAAAGUCGGCCUUCUUCAAGCGUGUGGCGGCCAUGCAGUGCGUGGCUCCCACCAUCCCAGAGCCAGGCUGGAGGGCCUGCUACAAACUGCUGCUGGAGACUUUGCCCGGAUACAGUCUCUCGCUGGAUCCUAAGGACUUCAGCAAAGGUACCCACAGAGGAUGGGCGGCUGUGCAGAUGCGCCUUCUGCAUGAACUGGUGUACGCCUCCCGCCGCAUGGGCAACCCCGGCCUGUCCGUCCGCCACCUGUCCUUUCUUCUGCAGACCAUGCUUGACUUCCUGUCCGAUCAAGAGAAGAAGGAAGUGACCCAGAGUCUGGAGAACUACACCUCUAAGUGUCCAGGUGGAAUGGAGGUCAUCACCCUUCCUGAUGGCCUGAAACUGCCUCCAGUGCCCUUCACAAAGCUCCCCAUUGUUCGAUCAGUGAAGCUCCUGAAUCUGCCCGUCAGUCUGCGGCCUCACAAAGUGAAAGGCCUGCUGGGACAGAAUAUUUCCACUGCCAGUCCCUUCAUCUACUCGCCCAUAAUCAUGCACAACAGAGGAGAUGAGCGCUGUAAGAAGAUCGACUUCCAGUGGGUUCAGGGAGAUGUGUGUGAGGUCCAGCUCAUGGUCUACAAUCCCAUGCCUUAUGAACUCAGAGUGGAGAACAUGGGUUUGCUGACCUCUGGAGUGGAGUUUGAGUCCCUGCCUGCUGCGUUGUCACUGCCCGCCGAGUCUGGCCUGUACCCCGUCACUCUGGUUGGCGUCCCGCGUACAGCUGGCAACAUCACUGUCAACGGUUACCACACGUCAGUGUUCGGUGUGACCAGUGAUUGUCUCUUGGAGAGUCUCCCGAACGUCAAGACUAGUGGUUGUUUGGUCGAGGUCAUUCCCUCCCUGCCUCGUCUUCAGCUCAGCACUUCACUACCACGGUCAGCACACACUCCUCAGUCCAAAGAAGAACUGUCCAGCUCUGUGUCCGUCCAGCUUUUCAACGGAGAAACUCAACAGCUGACCAUCACUUUAGAGAACAUAGGGUCUGAGGACAUCGAGAGUCUGGAGCUCACAUCUAAGAUCGUCAACACUAAAGAGAAAGUGUUCGGGGAGUUUCUGAGCUGGGACUUGGAGGACGCUGUGUCUCACCUGCCUCUGAAGCCGGGCCAGGCUGUCACACUCACUGUCUGCAUCAAAGUCAAGCUGGAUUUCUCUGGACAGGAGAACCUGCUGCAGGACCUUAAUGAUGAUGGGAUCAGUGUGACCGGUUUGCCGAUCUCCAGCCCACUGCGCCAAGUCCUCAAACCCAGGCCCGAAACCAAAUCAGUUGGCGGCGAGUCUGGAAAGGCAGAGUACAGCCACACAAAGAUUUUGGAAGCGGUGCUCAACUUCAAGUACUCUGGGGGAACAGGUAAAGUGGAGGGAUACUACAGGGAGCUGUCUCUGGGAGUUCAUGUGGAUGUGGAGCCCUCUGUGUUCUUCACUAGAGUCAGCACACUCCCAGCAACCAGCACCCGUCAGUGUCACCUUCUGCUCGACAUUUUCAACCCAACAGAGCAUGAGCUCACUGUCAGCGCCAAGAACAACCAGGACCUGGUUCUGCACGCCAGCGAGUGCCAGAGGAUGGCCAUCCAGGUGGAUAAGUUUGACUUUGAGAGCCUGCCACAGCCGGACCAGGAGACUGUACGCUUUGCUAACCCCAAACAGCUGGAAGAGGAGCGACAGCAUGCUCAAGGCUGCCAGAUCAACAGCAAGCUGGGCAUCUGCUGGAGUAUCCCGUCUCUCCGUCGUCAAGGAGAAGCCAGUGUGGAGGGAGUCCUCAACCAGCUGGUCCUGGAGCACCUGCAGCUGGCUCCGCUGCAGUGGGAUGUGUUGGUGAAUGGGAAGCCAUGUGACUGUGACGUCAUUGCUGAAUGUAAAGUAGGCGAUGCUGUGACCCUGGAGGUAAAACUCACCAAUAUGAGCAAGAACUCCGUCGGCCCGCUGGCCCUGACUGUGGUGCCGUAUCAAGACUUCCAAAACGGGGUCCAGAACUACGAUCUGGAAGAUGCUGUCACUUUCAUCGGCUCCAACACCUUCCACAUUGACACGGUUCAACCCAAGGAAAGUUCCGUCUGUGUCGGCGCCCUGCUCUUCCUCUACACUGGAGAUUUCUACCUUAACAUCAAGUUCCAGGACGACAGCGCUGGACGGGAGCUUCCUUUAGCCUGGUUCACUCUGCCCAGCGUUCACGUCAGAGCCCUGGAUACUCUGCUGCAGGCCGGGGCAUGAAGGCCUCCACGCUGAACGGAGAAUCAAAUGUUAAACUGUUGAUCAUACAUGUAAAUACCUUACAAAUUAAAGUUCAUGUAAAUACUAUUUGCUAUGGCAUCUAUACAGUGGCUCAUACGUUGUCUCCAUAACACCAGAACCCUUUCAGUCCUUUAUCCAUUAAAUAACAUCAACAUUUGUUACAGUUGUAUUUUGGACUAGAUUUACAACGUUGUGCAAAGAUCUUAGGCCACCAGCAAGAAUAAAAUGACCCUACUGUCUUGUCAAUAUGUAUAUCUCGAUGUCUGUAUUAGUAUAGGUACAAGGAGACAUAUGUAAAACAGCAUUAAAAACAAAAAUUCAUUUCAUAAAAAAAAAAAAGAAAAAAAAGAAUAUUAUUGCAUCUUGACAGAGAAAAGAAUAAAUGACAGAACUCUGGGACAUUAUGAGGUAAAAUAAACCACAAAAUUAUUUUAAAAUUUUUUUCCAAAAACAGUCGACGCAAGAGAGCAAAAUAUCUACUAAAUCCAAUACAGGUCAUACUAAAUAUUGACUUUUAUCUGGAAGACAUUUGGUCCAUUUAGAUCAGGGUUAUGUUUUGUGUUUCAGUGCUGUGUGCAUAGAUCCUGUAUUUAUUUCUUCAAUCUUAAUAAACAGACUGAGGAAUAAAGAUGUUUGUUCAUUAUAACCCUGUAAAACCAACACAGCUAACAGUGGCCUUAGACAUUUGCACAGUAAUGUAGAUAACACUGGAUAAUAUGUGGAAGAAAAGUACAUUUAGUCCCUGUUUUCUGUCACCAAAGACCAAACCGAGCCAAAAUAGUUAAUUAUGUUUUGAGCUUUUUCAUGUUCGCCAGUUUUACGUCCACAGCUGCCAUAAAAUAGAUGCUCUUUUUUUGCAAUUAAUUGUAAAAUUAUACAAAUGUGUUUAUUUGUUUGAAUGACUGAUUUGCUUUAGCUUUGGCUAUAGCUAGUUUGCUUAGCGCUUAUUAGCUACCUUGGCUAGCUUUUAGCUGUUACUAGCUAGCAGAACUGAACAUAUCAAAUAAGUUUUUCUUGACCUCCAACUUUUGUUCUUUAAAACUUUUCUGAAAAGAGCUUUAACAUAAACAUCACAUAUUUUGUUGAAGUCUGUUUUAUACCUAGAGCUGGCUGUUUGUUGACGUUAGCUAGCACCAUGGCUAAGCUAACAAAUGAUGGAUAACGUCAACAGAAGACAACACAAGUAUGAGUGCACAUCCAUAUCAUAUACACUGAACCUUUUUCACACACAGUGCCAUUUAUAUAAUAUAUUCCUGCCACCUGCUAUGUCCUUAAUAAAAAUAUCUGUGCAAAGAGAAGAAAACGUUAGCAUUAAGCUAAAGACGGCUGAACACUUAAUGAAGGAAAACACUGGAAACUUUAAUUUGUUGUGCAAGUCAUUUCUACUUUUUUUUUUUUUUUUUUUUAAUUGCUGAAUGGAUAUUUUCUUUUGGCUCUGUGCUGCGACACUGAGAUAGAUCUAAGUUUUGUUUUUAGAUAGAAAUGAUCCUCCUGUCUGUCACAUUAUUGCUGUAAAUAAAUGUUCAAA
Sphaeramia orbicularis (orbiculate cardinalfish) is the source of this 5110-nucleotide RNA transcript. It is a transcript of the gene named trafficking protein particle complex subunit 9, with no coding region annotated. NCBI's taxonomy places the organism in Eukaryota, Metazoa, Chordata, Actinopteri, Kurtiformes, Apogonidae. The record is from RefSeq and is a predicted model, not a curated record. The transcript is spliced from 25 exons.